UUAUAAAUUGAUUUUUAACAUUUUAUAGGUGUGUUUAAAAUUACAGUUAUGGAAUAUAAAAAAUAAUAAUUUGUUUGUUUUUCUUACCUUUUGUAUAAUGGUUAAACUAAAAUUUCAGUUAAAUCGCUUUUCCCGAAUUAGGAAGAUCUACUUAUCAACUUGUUUUAGAAUAUGUAGCUUAUGUUGCAAUAUGGGCUGAAGAUUAAUAAGUAGGGGUGAAAUGCCUUUCAAUUCCUAGGGUAUCUGGAAAUCUAAGAAAGGCAUUUAGUGCAGAAAAGUGAGGUAUAAAGUGUUCAGAUUUUAUAUUAUCAGUAUUGAAUAAGUUAUUAAUGUCUUUUAGAAUUAAAUCUCUAGAUGGUUGUUAGUGUAUAAAUUCAUUUAUUUUAGUUUCUGGUAGUUAUUAGAUUCUUCUUUUUAAUUUAAAAAUGAAUAAAUAAUGUUUAAAUUAGUAAUAAAUAUAUAAUUAAUAUUUGUAAACUUUUAUAGGUAUAAAAUAGCGAAAAGGAACUCGGCAAAACUAGACUUGGACUGUUUAACAAAAACAUAGCCACUAGAUGAUAUUAUAUGGUUCAACCUGCCCAAUGUUUAUUUAUAAAUAAAUGGCCGCGGUACCCUGACCGUGCUAAGGUAGCGUAAUCAGUUGACUUUUAAAUGAAGUCAGGAAUGAAUGGGAGAACCGGGUUUGACUGUCUCUAAGUUACUUUAUUGAAUUUACUUUCUAAGUGAAAAAGCUUAGGCCUGGUAAAGGGACGAGAAGACCCUUAGAAUUUUUUUUAAAAAGGUUUAUUAAUUUUUAUGAUUUUAUUGGGGCGAUAAAGAAAUAAUUAAAACUUUCUUUUACAAUAAGCCGAUUAUAUUAAGCAAGAAUAAAUUACCUGAGGGAUAACAGCAUAAUUCUAAAAUUGAGUUUGUGACCUCGAUGUUGGACUAGGAAACUAAUAGGCUAGCCGUUUGUUAUGUUAGGUUCUGUUCGAACUUUUAUUCCUACAUGAUCUGAGUUCAGACCGGCGUAAGCCAGGUCAGAUUCUAUCUUUUUAAAUUGCAGUUUUAGUACGAAAGGAUCGAGUUGCAUUAUUUUAAAUAAUUA
This 1087-nucleotide ribosomal RNA is filed under the name Aeolidia papillosa. RNAcentral describes it as "large subunit ribosomal RNA". The stretch from base 526 to 678 matches the Rfam family "Archaeal large subunit ribosomal RNA", at positions 1889 to 2083 of the family's 2987-position model. The record is from RNAcentral. Lineage: Eukaryota; Metazoa; Mollusca; Gastropoda; Nudibranchia; Aeolidiidae.